ACUCCUACGGGAGGCAGCAGUGGGGAAUAUUGCACAAUGGGCGCAAGCCUGAUGCAGCCAUGCCGCGUGUGUGAAGAAGGCCUUCGGGUUGUAAAGCACUUUCAGUUGUGAGGAAAGGUUAGUCGGCUUAAUAAUCAGCGCUGUUGACGUUAGCAACAGAAGAAGCACCGGCUAACUCCGUGCCAGCAGCCGCGGUAAUACGGAGGGUGCGAGCGUUAAUCGGAAUUACUGGGCGUAAAGCGCGUGUAGGUGGCUUGUU
This 259-nucleotide ribosomal RNA is filed under the name uncultured bacterium. Its description in RNAcentral is "partial 16S ribosomal RNA". It matches the Rfam family "Bacterial small subunit ribosomal RNA", at positions 335 to 584 of the family's 1533-position model. The record is from RNAcentral.